GGAGAGAUGGCCGAGCGGUCUAAGGCGUAGCAUUGGAAAUGCUAUUUAAAGGAUACUUUAACAAGGGUUCGAAUCCCUUUCUCUCCG
RNAcentral lists this transfer RNA (87 nucleotides) under Sciadococcus taiwanensis. RNAcentral describes it as "tRNA-Ser". It matches the Rfam family "tRNA". Rfam says of the family: Transfer RNA (tRNA) molecules are approximately 80 nucleotides in length. Their secondary structure includes four short double-helical elements and three loops (D, anti-codon, and T loops). The record is from RNAcentral. Lineage: Eukaryota; Rhodophyta; Bangiophyceae; Cavernulicolales; Cavernulicolaceae.